AGCAAGUUCAUAAGAGCAAACGGUGAAUGCCUUGGCAUCUGGAGCCGAAGAAGGACGUCGUAAUCUGCGAUAAGCCUCGGGGAGCUGAUAAACGAGCUGUGAUCCGAGGAUUUCCGAAUGGGGAAACCCCGCCAGGCCCCUUGUGGUGACCUGGUGACUCCCGCCUGAAUAUAUAGGGCGGGUAGAGGGAACGUGGGGAAGUGAAACAUCUCAGUACCCACAGGAAGAGAAAACAACAGUGAUUCCGUCAGUAGUGGCGAGCGAACGCGGAAGAGGCUAAACCGAGUCAUGUGUGAUACCCGGCAGGGGUUGCAUGGCCGGGGUUGUGGGACUUUUCGUUCCGGUCUGCCGGCCGGUGAACGUUACAGCGCAUCAUAGACGAACAGGUUUGAACGCCUGGCCAGAGCGGGUGCGAGCCCCGUAGUCGAAAUGGUGUUAUGGCGUGAAGAGUAUCCCAAGUAGCACGGGGCCCGAGAAAUCCCGUGUGAAUCUGUCAGGACCACCUGAUAAGCCUAAAUACUCCCAGAUGACCGAUAGCGGACAAGUACCGUGAGGGAAAGGUGAAAAGUACCCCGGGAGGGGAGUGAAAUAGUACCUGAAACCGUUUGCUUACAAACCGUCGGAGCCUCCUUGU
This 634-nucleotide ribosomal RNA is filed under the name Rathayibacter sp. AY1C7. RNAcentral describes it as "bacterial LSU rRNA". It matches the Rfam family "Bacterial large subunit ribosomal RNA", at positions 1 to 588 of the family's 2925-position model. Lineage: Bacteria; Bacillati; Actinomycetota; Actinomycetes; Micrococcales; Microbacteriaceae. The record is from RNAcentral.